This 254-nucleotide ribosomal RNA is filed under the name uncultured bacterium. Its description in RNAcentral is "partial 16S ribosomal RNA". It matches the Rfam family "Bacterial small subunit ribosomal RNA", at positions 524 to 776 of the family's 1533-position model. The record is from RNAcentral.
UACGUAGGGUGCGAGCGUUGUCCGGAAUUAUUGGGCGUAAAGAGCUUGUAGGCGGUCUGUCGCGUCUGCUGUGAAAAUCCGGGGCUCAACCUCGGACUUGCAGUGGGUACGGGCAGACUAGAGUGUGGUAGGGGAGACUGGAAUUCCUGGUGUAGCGGUGAAAUGCGCAGAUAUCAGGAGGAACACCGAUGGGCGAAGGCAGGUCUCUGGGCCACUACUGACGCUGAGAAGCGAAAGCAUGGGGAGCGAACAGG